CGGACCUCCGAUCAAGCAAGA
This 21-nucleotide ribosomal RNA is filed under the name Ectocarpus sp. Ec156. Its description in RNAcentral is "partial 25S ribosomal RNA". The record is from RNAcentral. Lineage: Eukaryota; Phaeophyceae; Ectocarpales; Ectocarpaceae.